This 84-nucleotide transfer RNA is filed under the name Thermoplasma volcanium GSS1. Its description in RNAcentral is "tRNA-Leu (CAG) (tRNA-Leu-CAG-1-1)". It matches the Rfam family "tRNA". Rfam says of the family: Transfer RNA (tRNA) molecules are approximately 80 nucleotides in length. Their secondary structure includes four short double-helical elements and three loops (D, anti-codon, and T loops). Lineage: Archaea; Methanobacteriati; Thermoplasmatota; Thermoplasmata; Thermoplasmatales; Thermoplasmataceae. The record is from RNAcentral.
GCGGAGGUUGUCGAGACUGGCCAAAGGCGAUGGAUUCAGGGUCCAUUCCCGCAGGGUUCGAGGGUUCAAAUCCCUCCCUCCGCA